GGAUGCGAUCAUACCAGCACUAAAGCACC
This 29-nucleotide ribosomal RNA is filed under the name Hordeum vulgare. RNAcentral also lists the same sequence under 2 other names. Lineage: Eukaryota; Viridiplantae; Streptophyta; Magnoliopsida; Poales; Poaceae. The record is from RNAcentral.